This 524-nucleotide unclassified non-coding RNA is filed under the name Hevea brasiliensis (rubber tree). Lineage: Eukaryota; Viridiplantae; Streptophyta; Magnoliopsida; Malpighiales; Euphorbiaceae. The record is from RNAcentral.
UCCUAAUAGUUUCGCAAUUAUCCCUUGACCUAGGGUGUCAUGGGGUCUCACACGAAUUUAGGGUGGCAACUGAGCUCACGGUUGCUUCUUGGGUCGGUUACCUAUCGGCGGGACCUCGGCUUAUUUAAUCGAUUAUGCUUGAUUUUUCUUAUUUUCAUUUCACCUUCAUGUGAUUUCUAUUAAUUUUUCUUUAUGGCUUCUCUAGAUGACUUAGAUAUGGUUCUAAACAUUCUGCCUGUUCGAAUAGACACUAGUCACCGAAACAGUAGAAUGUAUAGACUACUUAGUGUGGGGGUGUUACAAGAAUAGUCACAUGUCCCUCUUAAUGGUCUAUUAGAUAAGGAUCAUUUACACUGUGAUUAUUGUGGAAAAUCAAGGCAUACAAAGGAACAUUGCUGGAAGCUAUAUGGUUGCUCAUCCAAAAGGCAAGGAGGUAAACGGAUGAGCUCAGCAAGACAAUAAGCAAAUGUUUUUGAGAUAGUGGAUUUUUCUGAAAACAAUGCUCCUACUGCCACCACUAGAAU